RNAcentral lists this ribosomal RNA (427 nucleotides) under uncultured bacterium. Its description in RNAcentral is "bacterial SSU rRNA". It matches the Rfam family "Bacterial small subunit ribosomal RNA", at positions 355 to 774 of the family's 1533-position model. The record is from RNAcentral.
UGGGGAAUUUUGGACAAUGGGCGAAAGCCUGAUCCAGCAAUGCCGCGUGUAGGAUGAAGGCCCUCGGGUUGUAAACUACUUUUGUACGGAACGAAAAGACUCUUUCUAAUAAAGAGGGUCCAUGACGGUACCGUAAGAAUAAGCACCGGCUAACUACGUGCCAGCAGCCGCGGUAAUACGUAGGGUGCAAGCGUUAAUCGGAAUUACUGGGCGUAAAGCGUGCGCAGGCGGUUAUGUAAGACAGAUGUGAAAUCCCCGGGCUCAACCUGGGACCUGCAUUUGUGACUGCAUAGCUGGAGUACGGUAGAGGGGGAUGGAAUUCCGCGUGUAGCAGUGAAAUGCGUAGAUAUGCGGAGGAACACCGAUGGCGAAGGCAAUCCCCUGGACCUGUACUGACGCUCAUGCACGAAAGCGUGGGGAGCAAACA